Molecule: ribosomal RNA, 253 nt
Filed under: uncultured bacterium
Lineage: Bacteria
Description: partial 16S ribosomal RNA
Rfam family: Bacterial small subunit ribosomal RNA
Source: RNAcentral
UACGUAGGUGGCAAGCGUUGUCCGGAAUUAUUGGGCGUAAAGCGCGCGCAGGCGGUCCUUUAAGUCUGAUGUGAAAGCCCACGGCUCAACCGUGGAGGGUCAUUGGAAACUGGGGGACUUGAGUGCAGGAGAGAAGAGUGGAAUUCCACGUGUAGCGGUGAAAUGCGUAGAGAUGUGGAGGAACACCAGUGGCGAAGGCGACUCUUUGGCUUGUAACUGACGCUGAGGUGCGAAAGCGUGGGGAGCAAACAGG